UGGGGAAUAUUGCACAAUGGAGGGAACUCUGAUGCAGCGACGCCGCGUGAACGAAGAAGGCUUUCGAGUCGUAAAGUUCUUUUAUAUGGGAAGAUAAUGACGGUACCAUAAGAAAAAGCCCCGGCUAACUACGUGCCAGCAGCCGCGGUAAUACGUAGGGGGCUAGCGUUGUCCGGAAUCACUGGGCGUAAAGGGUUCGCAGGCGGAAAUGCAAGUCAGGUGUAAAAGGCAGUAGCUUAACUACUGUAAGCAUUUGAAACUGCAUAUCUUGAGAAGAGUAGAGGUAAGUGGAAUUUUUAGAGUAGCGGUGAAAUGCGUAGAUAUUAAAAAGAAUACCGGUGGCGAAGGCGGCUUACUGGGCUCAUUCUGACGCUGAGGAACGAAAGCGUGGGUAGCAAACAGG
This 403-nucleotide ribosomal RNA is filed under the name bacterium. RNAcentral's name for it is "partial 16S ribosomal RNA". It matches the Rfam family "Bacterial small subunit ribosomal RNA", at positions 355 to 776 of the family's 1533-position model. The record is from RNAcentral.